GACGAACGCUGGCGGCGUGCUUAACACAUGCAAGUCGAACGGAAAGGCCCUGCUUUUGUGGGGUGCUCGAGUGGCGAACGGGUGAGUAACACGUGAGUAACCUGCCCUUGACUUUGGGAUAACUUCAGGAAACUGGGGCUAAUACCGGAUAGGAGCUCCUGCUGCAUGGUGGGGGUUGGAAAGUUUCGGCGGUUGGGGAUGGACUCGCGGCUUAUCAGCUUGUUGGUGGGGUAGUGGCUUACCAAGGCUUUGACGGGUAGCCGGCCUGAGAGGGUGACCGGCGCCACGGGAGGUGCACCGCCAUCCAGGGUCCUAGGGGAGGCCCCAGUCGGGACUGGGGGCCAAUGGGGGGAAUUCUGAACAAGGGGGGGCACGUGGGUGCAGACAGCCCCGGGGGGGGAAGGCCGUUUUGUGGGUAAAAACCAGCUUCCGCUUGAGACGACGCUGGGGUGACGGUACGGGAAAAAAAAGCACCGGCUAACUACGUG
RNAcentral lists this ribosomal RNA (488 nucleotides) under uncultured bacterium. Its description in RNAcentral is "partial 16S ribosomal RNA". It matches the Rfam family "Bacterial small subunit ribosomal RNA", at positions 28 to 507 of the family's 1533-position model. The record is from RNAcentral.